RNAcentral lists this ribosomal RNA (447 nucleotides) under Cardinium endosymbiont of Bemisia tabaci. RNAcentral describes it as "bacterial SSU rRNA". It matches the Rfam family "Bacterial small subunit ribosomal RNA", at positions 215 to 658 of the family's 1533-position model. Lineage: Bacteria; Pseudomonadati; Bacteroidota; Cytophagia; Cytophagales; Amoebophilaceae. The record is from RNAcentral.
GCGGUGUAAAAUGAGCUUGCGUCCUAUUAGCUAGUUGGUGAGGUAAUGGCUCACCAAGGCUACGAUGGGUAGGGGUUCUUAGUGGAAGGUCCCCCACACUGGCACUGAGAUACGGGCCAGACUCCUACGGGAGGCAGCAGUAGGGAAUAUUGGUCAAUGGGCGCAAGCCUGAACCAGCCAUGCCGCGUGCAGGAUGAAGGCUCUCUGAGUUGUAAACUGCUUUUGUACAGGAGCAAAAAAAUCCCUGCGGGGGUUCUUGAGAGUACUGUAAGAAUAAGCACCGGCUAAUUCCGUGCCAGCAGCCGCGGUAAUACGGGAGGUGCAAGCGUUAUCCGGUUUUAUUGGGUUUAAAGGGUGCGUAGGCGGCUUAUUAAGUCAGUUGUGAAAUCCUAGUGCUUAACGCUAGAACUGCGAUUGAUACUAUUAGGCUUGAGUUAAAGAAGAAGU